Molecule: long non-coding RNA, 321 nt
Filed under: Manihot esculenta (cassava)
Lineage: Eukaryota; Viridiplantae; Streptophyta; Magnoliopsida; Malpighiales; Euphorbiaceae
Description: long non-coding RNA (MESC_LNC008058)
Source: RNAcentral
UCAGUUGGAGCCAGAGAUGGAGGAGAAAGUGUUGAAGAUGGGGUAGGAGCUGGAGUUGGUGCUGCAGAGGGAGUCGGUGAUGGGGUUGGAGUAGCCUUUGGCGACGGAGUUGGUGCCGCUUUUGGUGACGGAGUUGGCGCUGCUUUUGGUGCCGGAGUUGGUGAAGCUCCAGGUGCCUGUGCCAUGGAAGAAGCGGCCAAGAGACCCAAGAUAAAGAAAACUUUAACCAUGCAAGAACCCAUCUUCAUCUUUACGCCAACUUUCAGAGAAAAAGAAGAAAGCUUAAUCUUGUAGAGUAUUGAGGAGCGAAGAAGACGAGAA